Long non-coding RNA from Bactrocera neohumeralis, 2292 nucleotides. RefSeq lists it as uncharacterized. NCBI's taxonomy places the organism in Eukaryota, Metazoa, Arthropoda, Insecta, Diptera, Tephritidae. The record is from RefSeq and is a predicted model, not a curated record. The transcript is spliced from 2 exons.
AAAUGAUUAUCUUAUGAUAACAAAUGCCCACAUACAGAUUUGGCAAUGGCAAUAGCAAUAGAUUUGACAGUUAGCAAGACAUAGAUUUUAUCCUGUCGAGGUGCCCCGUAAUGACCAAAUGUGUUUGGUUGCGUUGAUGAACGCAUGUUUUGAUUAUUGCGCCGUGCGAAAACGCGAAAACACACAUUUGUAUUUAAAUAUAAAGGCAUUUUACAGCAUGAAUGCGAUGAUUGCGUGCGAUCAGAAUAUGGUGAUAAGACGUGUUUAUUCAAGGUAUGGAAGACCUAGUCACAUCUCAUUUGUGUGGAAUAAUAGCCCAUUAAAAACAUAUUUUGAGCAAACAUACCAAACAGAAGAUAACAAUUGGUUUACUUAGGUAACUACAAUUUAUAUGUGCAUGUACAUACAUAAUUACUAAAAUUAAAUUUCUUUUAUCCACCACACGAGUAUCUAUGGACGGCUUUCCGAAACGCUUUAUCAGUAAUAGCGGAAUUAAAUUUUAAUAAAAAAUAUGCAAAGGAAAGGAACGUAGUUGAAAGGACAAUUGGAGUGCUAAAAUGCCGUUUUCGUUAUAUACAGUAGCAGACAGUGAAAUCCGGACAACCCGUCGGUUUGUAUUUAAAGCACGAUUGUAACCGACAAGUGUAAUUUUUAGCGGAAGGGUUUAUUCUUUCACUUAAAUUAGUGCUCUGAACACGUUUUAUAACAACUUUUACUUUUAUUUUUCAAUAGUUUCAAAGUUUAUUUCGUGCUCGUGCUUGGUUAAAGCUCAAAUAUGCCAAAUUAAAAAAAAAAAUAUGCGAACUGCCGAAAAGUAAUAUUUUGACAAUUCCGGAAAUUAGUAAUGGAAUUGGCUUCAGCAAAUCUUCCAUCGGCGAAUUUCUAAAAAAUAUCGAUAAAACCAAGUCUCUUAAGAGAAAAACUGGCUAUGCAGCAAAGAAGAAGACAAGAUCUAGGACAUAUCUGGUGAUACGUUCAUCAGCUUGAGGGGUCGCGCAAGAACUGUUCGUCGAAGGCUUCAAGAGGUUGAUUUGAGCGCCAAAAAUUGGACUAAACUUGAUUGGCGAAAAUAGUAUUUUUAGAUGAGUCUAAAUUUAAAAUUUUUUGCAGCGACGUUGUGCCCUGUUGGCAGAGUUCUCAGUUCAACUGUUUAUUCAAGACUUAUUAUACAAAAUGGAUUUCAUGUUUCAGUAGUUAUAUAUGUUACAUAUACAAUAUAGUGUAUUCAUAUGGAAUAUAUAACUUAUUCGUAUUACAUUUCCGGACAAAGCCCUCUUAGGAAAUAUAUUACUUGUUACAUUUUCAACACUCUUUCUCAAGUAAAAUAUUUCUAGACGUUAAUAUUUAAGACCAAGCAUUUCUACAAAUUUAACAUGUUUUUGUUUUUGCAAAUUUUUAGUAAAAAUAUCAGAUACAUUUUCAUUUGUUGAAACAUACUCUUACUCUAUUUCUCUACGAUCAACCACAUCUCGAAUGUAAUGAUAUUUUAGCUCUAUAUGCUUGGUUCUCUUAUGAAAUAUAGGAUUCUUCGAAAUUUGUAUUGCGCUUAUGUUGUCGGCUUUCAACAAAAUUGGCUCUUCGGAACUGCAACCUACUUCCUUCAAUAAGCGACGAAGGUAUACUGCUUCUUUUGCUGCUGUGCACAAGGCAAUGUAUUCUGCCUCAGUGCUACUUAAAGCGACGACAUCUUGCUUCUUGGAUUGCCAAGAGAAUGUACUGCCAGCUAGAAAGAAUGAAUAGCCGGUGUAUGACUUCCUGUCUGUAUUGUUGCUUGCCCAAUCUGCAUCCGCGUAGCCUUCUACCGGUUUGUCACUUUUGUGAUAAUAAAGCUUUAAAUCUACGGUUUUUGAUAAAUACCGUAGAACAUUCUUUGCGCCAGCUUCAUGUUCGGAAUGAGGAUCAUGGUUUCUUUGAGCCAAUAAACUAACUGCAUGCAUUAUAUUAGGACGUGUUGAAAUCGCUAAAUACAUUAAAGAUCCAAUUAAAGACUGAUAGUUUGUUAUGUCCACCUUGGAGCAGUUCUUAUCGUUACAGCUUAUCUGAAAACCAGGAUCGAGAGGUGUGCUUACUGGACGACAUGAGUUCACUCCGCAUACACUCAACAACUCUUUGAUGUAUUUUUUCUGACACACAGAAAUCGCACCUGUUUUACCCUCACGUUCUAUUUCGAAACCAAGAAAGAACUUUAGUGUAUUACCAUCAUGUAAUUUAUUUAUUUAUUUAUUUACAACAGUUUACACAGCAAUAAAUUACAGCAUAAACUUUAAAAUGACACUAGCUGCAAGGCUUUCA